UACCAAGGCGACGAUGGUUAGCUGGUCUGAGAGGAUGAUCAGCCACACUGGAACUGGAACACGGUCCAGACUCCUACGGGAGGCAGCAGUGAGGAAUUUUGCGCAAUGGGGGAAACCCUGACGCAGCAACGCCGCGUGAGCGAAGAAGGCCUUCGGGUCGUAAAGCUCUGUCAAGUGGGAAAAAAAUUUUUUGAUCAAUAGUCAAAAGACUUGAUGGUACCACUGGAGGAAGCACCGGCUAACUCCGUGCCAGCAGCCGCGGUAAUACGGAGGGUGCAAGCGUUGUUCGGAUUUACUGGGCGUAAAGAGCGUGUAGGCGGUUUAGCAAGUCAGAUGUGAAAGCCCUGGGCUCAACCCGGGAAGUGCAUUUGAAACUGCUUCACUAGAGUAUGGGAGAGGAGAUUGGAAUUCCUGGUGUAGAGGUGAAAUUCGUAGAUAUCAGGAGGAACACCCGUGGCGAAGGCGAUUCUCUGGACCAAUACUGACGCUGAGACGCGAAAGCGUGGGGAGCAAACAGGAUUAGAUACCCUGGUAGUCCACGCCGUAAACGAUGAGAACUAGGUGUAGUGGGUAUUGACCCCUGCUGUGCCGAAGUUAACGCAUUAAGUUCUCCGCCUGGGGAGUACGGCCGCAAGGCUAAAACUCAAAGGAAUUGACGGGGGCCCGCACAAGCGGUGGAGCAUGUGGUUUAAUUCGACGCAACGCGAAGAACCUUACCUGGGUUUGACAUCCUCUGACCGUCUGGGAAACCAGAUUUUUCCGGCUUUGUCGGAACAGAGUGACAGGUGCUGCAUGGCUGUCGUCAGCUCGUGCCGUGAGAUGUUGGGUUAAGUCCCGCAACGAGCGUAACCCUUGUCUUUAGUUGCCAUUAUUAAGUUAGGCACUCUAAAGAGACUGCCUCGGUUAACGGGGAGGAAGGUGGGGAUGACGUCAAGUCCUCAUGGCCUUUAUAUCCAGGGCUACACACGUGCUACAAUGGGCUGUACAAAGGGUUGCUAACCUGCGAGGGUGCGCUAAUCCCAAAAAGCAGUUCUCAGUUCGGAUUGAAGUCUGCAACUCGACUUCAUGAAGGUGGAAUCGCUAGUAAUCGUGGAUCAGCAUGCCACGGUGAAUACGUUCCCGGGCCUUGUACACACCGCCCGUCACACCACGAAAGUCGACUGUACCAGAAGUUGCUGGGCUAACCUCUUCGGAGGAGGCAGGUACCUAAGGUACGGCCGGUAAUUGGGGUGAAGUCGUAACAAGGUA
RNAcentral lists this ribosomal RNA (1248 nucleotides) under metagenome. RNAcentral describes it as "bacterial SSU rRNA". It matches the Rfam family "Bacterial small subunit ribosomal RNA", at positions 266 to 1498 of the family's 1533-position model. The record is from RNAcentral.